RNAcentral lists this long non-coding RNA (1633 nucleotides) under Capra hircus (goat). Its description in RNAcentral is "lncRNA (ENSCHIG00010016925.1)". Lineage: Eukaryota; Metazoa; Chordata; Mammalia; Artiodactyla; Bovidae. The record is from RNAcentral.
GCCCAGGGCUGGGUCUGUGGGAACCGUCAGGUAAAUGUACUGCGGGUGGAUGGCUUGCUUCAUAAUGAGGGAAAACAACCCUGGGUUGGGUUUAAAGUAAGUCUGCCCUUGUUCCAACCCCCUCUAACCCUGCUACCAUGCCUUAUUCCAAAUGCAGUUCCCAUGAAGUCUGUGCAUUUCCCCCACACUCCGCAGGUGUGCAUUGGAAUGUAUCUAUGAGCACUCAGGCCCAGUCUGCCCCAGGAGGCAAGGAACACUCUAGAAAGCUCAGUGAUUUGUUUAGAAUGGAAUUUCUCAACACAACACUGUUGGCAUUUAGGGCUGGGUUAUCCUUUCUUGGGCGGGGGGUGGUGGGGUGGUGGGUGCUAUCCUGUGCAAUGAAGGAUGUUUAGCAGUACCCCUGGUCUCUACCCACUAGAUGCCAGUAGCAUGCCACCCCCCGAGUUGUGACAACCCCAGACCUCCCCAGACACUGUCAAACGUCCCCUAGGAGGCAACAUCACUCCCAUUGAGAAACACAGUGGGAGAGAAGCUGGCAGCUCCUCACCAAGGACCCCGUCAGCCUUGGUUUCUGCUCUAACUUGUGGAUCUUACACAAAGCACAGACACGAGUCUUACAUUCUCCGUUUUCUUUUCCAGGACUUUCCCCAGGCUGAGCCUCAGAGCGGCCACCUCUCAGGGGUGUUUGCAUCUGGCCGUCUGCAGGGCAGUUCACCAGGCUCAGCAAUGACAAGGCUUCGAGUCGCCAGCAGAUGGCGCAAAAGUCCUUCCCAGGCCUCUCUGGUUGCUGCUUUCUUCUCUGCGACCUGAGUUACUCUGAGAAUCUGAUGCUGAAAGGCGCUUUAGUGCCCUGGUUCUGAACUGUGGGGCCGGCGUUGGAUUUUGCCUCCCAGGGAACCUAUGAGACAUUGGAUUGUCACAGUUGAGAGGCUGAUACUGCCACCUAGUGGGCAGAGACCAGAGACACGGCUGAACACCUUAGGGUGCACGGGACAGCCUCCCCGACCAGGAAUGAUCCAGCCCAGAAUGUCAACUGUGCCGAGGUUGAGAAGCCCCAGUUUAUAGAUGAGUAAACUGAGGACACCGAGGGAGAGUUUAAUUGUGUGGGUGGCUUCCCAGCAUGGUUAUGGGAUGUGGUGAUAAGAUGAGGUGAAAACUGUGAUGAGGGUUUAUAAGCACUUAUGCUUGAGGGCAGAGGGUCUGAUUUCUUUGUCUCUCUCCCUGCAUCCACAGAAGUUCUCAGGAAAAGUUGGCUGAACUGGACUGAAUCAGCCCCUCCACAUCUGAAGAUGGGCAAUAGCUAUAGCUGCAUUUUGACACUGCCUCCUGAUCAGAUACUAACGCUGCCCAGAGCACUGGGUUGAGAAGUGCCAUACUCAGCAGAUAAGAGUCCUAGAAUCAACUAGUCAUGUCUGCUAAGAGUGCAGAACCAGAUAAUCAGAAAUUCAGCCUUUUUUGCUGAUCCCAGAAUAAAUGAUCAGAAGCCUGGGAGCAAAAGAUUCUGUUAAAGAAGACUUUUCUUAUAAAUCAUAAGCCCUCUGAAUUGAUUUACUGUAAAACAGGUAAACAAAUAUCAAGAUGCAUUUAGGGAGAGGGUGGGAUGAUUUGGGAGAAUGGCAUUCUAACAUGUAUA